Molecule: RNA transcript, 929 nt
Organism: Cucurbita moschata (crookneck pumpkin)
Lineage: Eukaryota; Viridiplantae; Streptophyta; Magnoliopsida; Cucurbitales; Cucurbitaceae
Exons: 3
Source: RefSeq, a predicted model, not a curated record
ACAUCCGGGUGGUGAAUGGACAUUAGACAACAAGACAAAGGACCCCACGGAAUCGCCAAGGAAAGCGCGUGUUCCACACUCCAUGAAAAGCCGCGUGGGUAUCAGAGACUAAAAACUUGGAUAACGAGAUGUGGAGGGGACUGGUGUAGAGAGGAGCCAAGUCACUCAAACGAAAGCUUCAUAAGGAAAAAAUGGGAUUACCUAAACAGAGAGAUUUCAUUUCAGCUCUUCAAGAUUCAACGCUUUUUGGAGUCGAAGAGAAGAAUCCGCUCGAUCGAUUUCUCAUUCCAGUCUCUUCAAGAUUCAACGCUUUUUGGAGUCCAAGGGAAGAAUCCGCUCGAUCGAUUACUCAGUCCAGUGUAUGUUCAUGAUUUCUUCCAUUUAUUUCCCUUCUGCAAACAAAUUUCACUUGAAAAUCUCUGAAAAAACAGCCUGAAUUUCAUACUUCCAGUCUCUGCAUAUCUUUUCAUUUGAACCGUACUGAACAAUUCUGCAUUAUUCCGAGUUUUUGAUGAGUGAAGAAGCACCGAUUCUUAGAAUAUGAUAUUGAUUUCUCAUUCCAGUGUUUCUGAUUCUGAUUCUAAAUGCCAAAAAGAGAGCGAUUACUGUAAAGAAGUAGAGGAUUUUACUGAGUUUCUUUCCCCAGCGACUCAUCCGAAACCACAAGAACAGAAUGUGGGCUCUUUCCCCAUAUCCAAAUCUCUCACUUAAUAAAGGAUUUUCUAAAGUUUCAGCAUCAGCUCAGAUUACAAUUUCUCCCAAGGACACAAUUUUCCCACUGCCAAAUUGGAGGAUAGGGAAAGGCGAUCAGAAGAGUAGAGAGCUUAGACUAAACGAUGCUUUUUUUCACUUAGAGUUCAUGAUUGAGAAUGGCCAAAAGCCUGAUGAAUUCCACGCAACACGGUUACUGUAUGAUCUCUGCAAGGCAU